RNAcentral lists this unclassified non-coding RNA (338 nucleotides) under soil metagenome. RNAcentral's name for it is "partial contains 5.8S ribosomal RNA, internal transcribed spacer 2, and large subunit ribosomal RNA". The stretch from base 1 to 120 matches the Rfam family "5.8S ribosomal RNA", at positions 35 to 154 of the family's 154-position model. The record is from RNAcentral.
GAUGAAGAACGCAGCGAAAUGCGAUAAGUAAUGUGAAUUGCAGAAUUCAGUGAAUCAUCGAAUCUUUGAACGCACAUUGCGCCCGGUAGUAUUCUGCCGGGCAUGCCUGUUCGAGCGUCAUUUCAACCAUCAAGCCCCAGCGCUUGUGUUGGGGGCCUGCGGCUGCCGCAGCCCCCUAAAAGCAGUGGCGGGCUCGCUAUCACACCGAGUGCAGUAGUUCAUCUUCUCCCCGGUCUUGUGAGGCGGGUUCCGGCCGUGAAACACCCCACUACAUUCAAGGUUGACCUCGGAUCAGGUAGGAAUACCCGCUGAACUUAAGCAUAUCAAUAAGCGGAGGA